CCUACGGGAGGCAGCAGUGGGGAAUAUUGCGCAAUGGCCGAAAGGCUGACGCAGCGACGCCGCGUGUGGGAUGACGGCCUUCGGGUUGUAAACCUCUUUCAGCUCCGACGAAGCGAAAGUGACGGUAGGAGCAGAAGAGGCACCGGCCAACUACGUGCCAGCAGCCGCGGUAAU
Molecule: ribosomal RNA, 174 nt
Filed under: uncultured Actinomycetes bacterium
Lineage: Bacteria; Bacillati; Actinomycetota; Actinomycetes
Description: uncultured actinobacterium partial 16S ribosomal RNA
Rfam family: Bacterial small subunit ribosomal RNA
Source: RNAcentral